Oryctolagus cuniculus (rabbit) is the source of this 1550-nucleotide long non-coding RNA. RefSeq lists it as uncharacterized. Lineage: Eukaryota; Metazoa; Chordata; Mammalia; Lagomorpha; Leporidae. The record is from RefSeq and is a predicted model, not a curated record.
UUUCGGAGGGCGGAGCCUUGGGCAGGGAGGCUGGCGGAGCCCCCGGGGUGGUGGCUCUUGGGAUAUGGGGUUUGCUUAACAAAGGGUUGCCUAAUGGAUUGAUUUCUGGGCGGGCGUUUGGCCCAACGGUUCAGCCACUCGUUAAGAUGCCCGCAUCCGAUAUUGUAGUGCGAGAUUCUGCUCCUGGUUUAGCUGCCGAUUCCAGCGUCCUGCAGAUGCACAGCCUCCGAGUUCUUGGCUCCCUGACGCACUCGUGGGGGACCCGGAUGGAGCUCCCCGCUCUUGGCCCAGCCCCGACUGCUGCGGGCAUCUGGGUAGUGAGCCAGCAGCCCUGUUUAUGUCAUGGAUUGAACUGUCUCAACAUCUUUGUUCCCUUCAAGCUCUACUGUGGGGAGCAACUGGGAGCAACUCGGACUAGACUAAGUUACUGGAAUUAAGACUUAUUCUAUGCAUCUGCUUUCCCACAAUAUGGCGCUGAGAAGGGAAACAGCUUCUACACAGCUGCCUCCAGUUCAACCAAUAAACUGUGGGACCUGCUCCUGAUUGGAGGAGAGCAGCGUACUCGGUGUGUGGGCAGCCGAGUUGGGGUUGGCGGAGGAGGACUAUAAAGGAGAGAGACAGCAUGCACCAGGAACAUCUAAGGGGAACAUCUGAAGGAACACCUGUGCAGCCCCCAAGAGAGCCGGCCGGCGGUCCCCCGCGGAAGUGGGGAAUGUGGCAGGGGGAACCGCCCUUCCAUGGAGGUGGAAGGGUCGGUAGCCAACCCGGGAAGAACCAGCAGCAAACCCGGGGAGGGCCGAGCAGACAAAAGAACAGCACAGGGUCCUGUGUCGUUCCUCCACGAAGACAGGGAGCGACAUAAUGGUGCCGUGACUCGGAUAUGAAGCCUAGGCAGGGUUUAGUGUCAUUCCUCCACGAAGAGGGGGAGCGACAUAAUGGUGCCGUGACUCGGAUAUGAAGCCUAGGCUGGGCUUAGUGUCGUUCCUCCACGAAGACGGGGAGCGACAUAAUGGUGCCGUGACUCGGAUAGGAAACCUAGGAGGGAAGAAACGGGAAGAAGUGGAAAAUACCGGAGAGAGAGACUAGCAAAGAGCCUAGGGAAAAGCCGGACAGAAAAGGUGCCGGAAGAAGCUAUCGAAAGCCUAGGCUUAGACUCGGAUAUGGACUGUGGGAAAGAAGUUAGGAUUUAAAGUGAAAGCAAAGCCGGCGCCGUGGCUCAAUAGGCUAAUCCUCCACCUUGCGGCGCCGGCACACCGGGUUCUAGUCCCGGUCUGGGCGCCGGAUUCUGUCCCGGUUGCCCCUCUUCCAGGCCAGCUCUCUGCUAUGGCCAGGGAGUGCAGUGGAGGAUGGCCCAGGUGCUUGGGCCCUGCACCCCAUGGGAGACCAGGAAAAGCACCUGGAUCCUGGCUCCUGCCAUCAGAUCAGCGCGGUGCGCCAGCUGCAGCGGCGGCCAUUGGAGGGUGAACCAACGGCAAAGGAAGACCUUUCUCUCUCUGUCUCUCUCUCUCACUGUCCACUCUGCCUGUCAAAAAAAAAAAAAAAUAAAUAAA